RNAcentral lists this small nuclear RNA (310 nucleotides) under Echinops telfairi (small Madagascar hedgehog). RNAcentral describes it as "7SK RNA (ENSETEG00000024571.1)". It matches the Rfam family "7SK RNA". From Rfam's summary of the family: 7SK was discovered as an abundant small nuclear RNA in the mid-70s but a possible function has only recently been suggested. Two independent studies have found that 7SK RNA binds the CDK9/cyclin T complex (known as elongation factor P-TEFb). The record is from RNAcentral. Lineage: Eukaryota; Metazoa; Chordata; Mammalia; Afrosoricida; Tenrecidae.
GGAUGGGAGGACAAUCUGGCUGUGAUGUCUGUCACCCCUUUGAUGGCAGGACUGACUUAGCUGAUCUGACUGGCCAGGUGGGUGUCUCCUUCCUCCUCACCAUCCCCUGUGCUCCCCUCCAGCAGCUGAGUGAGGCUCAAUUGAAGACAAUGACCUUCUCACACAGGAAGACCGUCCUUGGACGUAGGGUACACAAGUAGCUUAGCUCCCCUGCUAGAACCCCCAAAUACGCUCUCAAGAAUCUUGCCAACAAAACUCACACCAAUCCAUGUUCUUCUGCAGUUACCACUGAGUGCCAGUGACUACAUUC